GCAGUCUGCAACUCGACUGCAUGAAGUCGGAAUCGCUAGUAAUCGCGGAUCAGCAUGCCGCGGUGAAUACGUUCCCGGGUCUUGUACACACCGCCCGUCACACCAUGGGAGUCGGAAAUGCCCGAAGUCUGUGACCCAACCUUAGGGAGGGAGCAGCCGAAGGCAGGUCGGAUGACUGGGGUGAAGUCGUAACAAGGUAAC
RNAcentral lists this ribosomal RNA (201 nucleotides) under uncultured bacterium. RNAcentral's name for it is "partial 16S ribosomal RNA". It matches the Rfam family "Bacterial small subunit ribosomal RNA", at positions 1300 to 1500 of the family's 1533-position model. The record is from RNAcentral.